GACGAACGCUGGCGGCGUGCUUAACACAUGCAAGUCGAACGGAAAGGCCCUGCUUUUGUGGGGUGCUCGAGUGGCGAACGGGUGAGUAACACGUGAGUAACCUGCCCUUGACUUUGGGAUAACUUCAGGAAACUGGGGCUAAUACCCGAUAGAAGCUCCUGCUGCAUGGGGUGCGUUGGAAAGUUUCGGUGGUGCGGGAUGGACUCGCGGCUUAUCAGCUGGUUGGGGGGGUAGUGGCUUACCAAGGCUUUGACGGGUAGCCGGCCUGAGAGGGUGACCGGCCACAUGGGGACUGAGAUACGGCCCAGACUCCUACGGGAGGCAGCAGUGGGGAAUAUUGCACAAUGGGCGGAAGCCUGAUGCAGCAACGCCGCGUGCGGGAUGACGGCCUUCGGGUGGUAAACCGCUUUCGCCUGUGACGAAGCGUGAGUGACGGUAAUGGGUAAAGAAGCACCGGCUAACUACGUG
This 468-nucleotide ribosomal RNA is filed under the name uncultured bacterium. RNAcentral describes it as "partial 16S ribosomal RNA". It matches the Rfam family "Bacterial small subunit ribosomal RNA", at positions 28 to 507 of the family's 1533-position model. The record is from RNAcentral.